RNAcentral lists this ribosomal RNA (1788 nucleotides) under Shigella boydii. RNAcentral describes it as "partial 23S ribosomal RNA". It matches the Rfam family "Bacterial large subunit ribosomal RNA", at positions 1170 to 2925 of the family's 2925-position model. Lineage: Bacteria; Pseudomonadati; Pseudomonadota; Gammaproteobacteria; Enterobacterales; Enterobacteriaceae. The record is from RNAcentral.
AUGUAACGGGGCUAAACCAUGCACCGAAGCUGCGGCAGCGACGCUUAUGCGUUGUUGGGUAGGGGAGCGUUCUGUAAGCCUGUGAAGGUGUGCUGUGAGGUAUGCUGGAGGUAUCAGAAGUGCGAAUGCUGACAUAAGUAACGAUAAAGCGGGUGAAAAGCCCGCUCGCCGGAAGACCAAGGGUUCCUGUCCAACGUUAAUCGGGGCAGGGUGAGUCGACCCCUAAGGCGAGGCCGAAAGGCGUAGUCGAUGGGAAACAGGUUAAUAUUCCUGUACUUGGUGUUACUGCGAAGGGGGGACGGAGAAGGCUAUGUUGGCCGGGCGACGGUUGUCCCGGUUUAAGCGUGUAGGCUGGUUUUCCAGGCAAAUCCGGAAAAUCAAGGCCGAGGCGUGAUGACGAGGCACUACGGUGCUGAAGCAACAAAUGCCCUGCUUCCAGGAAAAGCCUCUAAGCAUCAGGUAACAUCAAAUCGUACCCCAAACCGACACAGGUGGUCAGGUAGAGAAUACCAAGGCGCUUGAGAGAACUCGGGUGAAGGAACUAGGCAAAAUGGUGCCGUAACUUCGGGAGAAGGCACGCUGAUACGUAGGUGAAGCGACUUGCUCGUGGAGCUGAAAUCAGUCGAAGAUACCAGCUGGCUGCAACUGUUUAUUAAAAACACAGCACUGUGCAAACACGAAAGUGGACGUAUACGGUGUGACGCCUGCCCGGUGCCGGAAGGUUAAUUGAUGGGGUUAGCGCAAGCGAAGCUCUUGAUCGAAGCCCCGGUAAACGGCGGCCGUAACUAUAACGGUCCUAAGGUAGCGAAAUUCCUUGUCGGGUAAGUUCCGACCUGCACGAAUGGCGUAAUGAUGGCCAGGCUGUCUCCACCCGAGACUCAGUGAAAUUGAACUCGCUGUGAAGAUGCAGUGUACCCGCGGCAAGACGGAAAGACCCCGUGAACCUUUACUAUAGCUUGACACUGAACAUUGAGCCUUGAUGUGUAGGAUAGGUGGGAGGCUUUGAAGUGUGGACGCCAGUCUGCAUGGAGCCGACCUUGAAAUACCACCCUUUAAUGUUUGAUGUUCUAACGUGGACCCGUGAUCCGGGUUGCGGACAGUGUCUGGUGGGUAGUUUGACUGGGGCGGUCUCCUCCUAAAGAGUAACGGAGGAGCACGAAGGUUGGCUAAUCCUGGUCGGACAUCAGGAGGUUAGUGCAAUGGCAUAAGCCAGCUUGACUGCGAGCGUGACGGCGCGAGCAGGUGCGAAAGCAGGUCAUAGUGAUCCGGUGGUUCUGAAUGGAAGGGCCAUCGCUCAACGGAUAAAAGGUACUCCGGGGAUAACAGGCUGAUACCGCCCAAGAGUUCAUAUCGACGGCGGUGUUUGGCACCUCGAUGUCGGCUCAUCACAUCCUGGGGCUGAAGUAGGUCCCAAGGGUAUGGCUGUUCGCCAUUUAAAGUGGUACGCGAGCUGGGUUUAGAACGUCGUGAGACAGUUCGGUCCCUAUCUGCCGUGGGCGCUGGAGAACUGAGGGGGGCUGCUCCUAGUACGAGAGGACCGGAGUGGACGCAUCACUGGUGUUCGGGUUGUCAUGCCAAUGGCACUGCCCGGUAGCUAAAUGCGGAAGAGAUAAGUGCUGAAAGCAUCUAAGCACGAAACUUGCCCCGAGAUGAGUUCUCCCUGACCCUUUAAGGGUCCUGAAGGAACGUUGAAGACGACGACGUUGAUAGGCCGGGUGUGUAAGCGCAGCGAUGCGUUGAGCUAACCGGUACUAAUGAACCGUGAGGCUUAACCUUACAACGCCGAAG